Molecule: ribosomal RNA, 208 nt
Filed under: uncultured bacterium
Lineage: Bacteria
Description: partial 16S ribosomal RNA
Rfam family: Bacterial small subunit ribosomal RNA
Source: RNAcentral
CAUGUAGGCUGCUUGUUAAGUCUGAUGUGAAAGCCCCGGGCUCAACCUGGGAAGUGCAUUGGAUACUGGCAAGCUUGAGUAUGGGAGAGGAAAGUGGAAUUCCGAGUGUAGGGGUGAAAUCCGUAGAUAUUCGGAGGAACACCAGUGGCGAAGGCGGCUUUCUGGACCAAUACUGACGCUGAUAUGCGAAAGCGGUGGGGAGCAAACA